RNAcentral lists this ribosomal RNA (372 nucleotides) under uncultured organism. RNAcentral describes it as "partial 16S ribosomal RNA". It matches the Rfam family "Bacterial small subunit ribosomal RNA", at positions 527 to 896 of the family's 1533-position model. The record is from RNAcentral.
GUAGGUGGCAAGCGUUGUCCGGAAUUAUUGGGCGUAAAGCGCGCGCAGGCGGUUCUUUAAGUCUGAUGUGAAAGCCCACGGCUCAACCGUGGAGGGUCAUUGGAAACUGGAGAACUUGAGUACAGAAGAGGAAAGCGGAAUUCCACGUGUAGCGGUGAAAUGCGUAGAGAUGUGGAGGAACACCAGUGGCGAAGGCGGCUUUCUGGCCUGUAACUGACGCUGAGGCGCGAAAGCGUGGGGAGCAAACAGGAUUAGAUACCCUGGUAGUCCACGCCGUAAACGAUGAGUGCUAAGUGUUAGGGGGUUUCCGCCCCUUAGUGCUGCAGCUAACGCAUUAAGCACUCCGCCUGGGGAGUACGGCCGCAAAGGCUG